This 67-nucleotide transfer RNA is filed under the name Chloroflexota bacterium. Its description in RNAcentral is "Chloroflexi bacterium tRNA-Glu". Lineage: Bacteria; Bacillati; Chloroflexota. The record is from RNAcentral.
AUAGGUAGGGUAAUAGAUACCGGCCUCUCAUGUCGGUAACAGGGGUUCGAACCCUUUGGGACUACCA